RNAcentral lists this ribosomal RNA (1221 nucleotides) under uncultured fungus. RNAcentral describes it as "eukaryotic LSU rRNA". The stretch from base 571 to 1221 matches the Rfam family "Eukaryotic large subunit ribosomal RNA", at positions 1 to 667 of the family's 3401-position model. Lineage: Eukaryota; Fungi. The record is from RNAcentral.
CUUGGUCAUUUAGAGGAAGUAAAAGUCGUAACAAGGUUUCCGUAGGUGAACCUGCGGAAGGAUCAUUACCGAGUGAGGGCCCUCUGGGUCCAACCUCCCACCCGUGUUUAAUCGUACCUUGUUGCUUCGGCGGGCCCGCCUCACGGCCGCUGGGGGGGUCUUGCACCCCCCGGGCCCGCGCCCGCCGAAGACACCAUCGAACGCUGUCUAAAGUUUGCAGUCUGAGCAGAUUUAGCAAAAUCGUUAAAACUUUCAACAACGGAUCUCUUGGUUCCGGCAUCGAUGAAGAACGCAGCGAAAUGCGAUAAGUAAUGUGAAUUGCAGAAUUCAGUGAAUCAUCGAAUCUUUGAACGCACAUUGCGCCCCCUGGUAUUCCGGGGGGCAUGCCUGUCCGAGCGUCAUUGCUGCCCUCAAGCACGGCUUGUGUGUUGGGCCCCCGCCCCCCCCAAAAGGGGGGCGGGCCCGAAAGGCAGCGGCGGCACCGCGUCCGGUCCUCGAGCGUAUGGGGCUUUGUCACCCGCUCGUGUAGGCCCGGCCGGCGCCAGCCGACACUCCAAUCUUUAACCAGGUUGACCUCGGAUCAGGUAGGGAUACCCGCUGAACUUAAGCAUAUCAAUAAGCGGAGGAAAAGAAACCAACAGGGAUUGCCUCAGUAACGGCGAGUGAAGCGGCAAGAGCUCAAAUUUGAAAGCUGGCCCCCUCGGGGCCCGCAUUGUAACUUGCAGAGGAUGCUUCGGGAGCGGCCCCCAUCUAAGUGCCCUGGAACGGGCCGUCAUAGAGGGUGAGAAUCCCGUAUGGGAUGGGGUGCCCGCGCCCGUGUGAAGCUCCUUCGACGAGUCGAGUUGUUUGGGAAUGCAGCUCUAAAUGGGUGGUAAAUUUCAUCUAAAGCUAAAUAUUGGCCGGAGACCGAUAGCGCACAAGUAGAGUGAUCGAAAGAUGAAAAGCACUUUGAAAAGAGAGUUAAAAAGCACGUGAAAUUGUUGAAAGGGAAGCGCUUGCGACCAGACUCGCCCGCGGGGUUCAGCCGGCAUUCGUGCCGGUGUACUUCCCCGUGGGCGGGCCAGCGUCGGUUUGGGCGGCCGGUCAAAGGCCCUCGGAAUGUAACGCCUCUCGGGGCGUCUUAUAGCCGAGGGUGUCAUGCGGCCAGCCCGGACCGAGGAACGCGCUUCGGCUCGGACGCUGGCAUAAUGGUCGUAAGCGACCCGUCUUGAAACACGGACC